This is a long non-coding RNA of Paramisgurnus dabryanus, 403 nucleotides long. RefSeq lists it as uncharacterized. NCBI's taxonomy places the organism in Eukaryota, Metazoa, Chordata, Actinopteri, Cypriniformes, Cobitidae. The record is from RefSeq and is a predicted model, not a curated record.
CUAAACACAGCACUCGGGGGAAUGACUGGCAUAUAGCACAUCCUCUGUGUCUUUGACACUUGCUAAGGAGUGACAAAACGCCACAUGUGUCAAAGAAACUGGAGAUGGGUGCUUUCGUAAGUAAGAGCGAUUCUGUCCCUGUGAAAAGCGUGGAGCACUUUGCCGGUGACCUUCCAGAUGAGUGCGGCUGAAAUUGGAUGAUUGCGUGCUGUGUUACCGGACAAGUGACAGGUGGCUGUAUCUCCAGGCUUGAAGGCAGGCAAUCUCACAUACCCAGUCCAUGUGUGCUGCACCCAGUUCCCAGGUGAGCUGUCAUCUAGUCUGGUUGAGUCCAGGAGAACAGGACCGCAUGACGUUCACUUCACCCGAGAGAACAACAUCUCCGAAGCUCCUUCUUUCCAUG